RNAcentral lists this ribosomal RNA (342 nucleotides) under uncultured Pseudomonas sp. RNAcentral describes it as "bacterial SSU rRNA". It matches the Rfam family "Bacterial small subunit ribosomal RNA", at positions 1042 to 1382 of the family's 1533-position model. Lineage: Bacteria; Pseudomonadati; Pseudomonadota; Gammaproteobacteria; Pseudomonadales; Pseudomonadaceae. The record is from RNAcentral.
UGCAGUGGCUGUCGUCAGCUCGUGUCGUGAGGUGUUGGGUUAAGUCCCGUAACGAGCGCAACCCUUGUCCUUAGUUACCAGCACGUUAUGGUGGGCACUCUAAGGAGACUGCCGGUGACAAACCGGAGGAAGGUGGGGAUGACGUCAAGUCAUCAUGGCCCUUACGGCCUGGGCUACACACGUGCUACAAUGGUCGGUACAAAGGGUUGCCAAGCCGCGAGGUGGAGCUAAUCCCAUAAAACCGAUCGUAGUCCGGAUCGCAGUCUGCAACUCGACUGCGUGAAGUCGGAAUCGCUAGUAAUCGUGAAUCAGAAUGUCACGGUGAAUACGUUCCCGGGCCUU